RNAcentral lists this long non-coding RNA (607 nucleotides) under Equus caballus (horse). RNAcentral describes it as "lncRNA (ENSECAG00000050672.1)". The record is from RNAcentral. Lineage: Eukaryota; Metazoa; Chordata; Mammalia; Perissodactyla; Equidae.
AUAAAAGCCAGGAUGUCACCCCAAAAGAGGAGAGCUCAAUAUGGCCAAAAGGGAGGUUGCCCAAAUUAGUCACUAGACACCCUGCUGGAACAGAAGAGACAAAAUUGUAGCAGAGAGAAAACAACACCUGCAUUGAAUCCAAGACACAAGGAUAGGAUGUGACUGAGUAAGACGUGGCUCACCUGAGAGACUGAGAGAACGCGGGACAGCAGGCGAAGGGGAAAAGUCGGGAUUGACUUGGAUUGUUAAGGAGUUGGCUCCUAGUGAACGCAGACAUCAUGUAUGAGUGCCUAGAAGCAAGGUUGGUUGCAACUCAACUGUGUUUCAUCUUCAGUUCUUCUGGAAUUCAGGGUGAUGGAGCAGACCCUAUGUGGAGCACUUUCCUGUUUCAAUGGGUCCCGAUAUCCCAGGAUAGGAAGUGAUGUUCCACAGCUGGAGAUGAUCACCCAUGUUCCAUCACACCAUUUAGAUCAACCCUCAGUGAAUUCCCAGAACUUCUCCAAAAGUUCAGAAUCAUUCAUUUCCUCUCUCCCUUUGCGAUGGAUACAUUUUACUCAGUAUAGAUAAAUUCUGAGGUUUAUUAUUAAUAUACAAGCAUAAUGUAAGA